Molecule: transfer RNA, 72 nt
Filed under: Haemonchus contortus (barber pole worm)
Lineage: Eukaryota; Metazoa; Nematoda; Chromadorea; Rhabditida; Trichostrongylidae
Description: tRNA, Pseudo
Rfam family: tRNA
About the family: Transfer RNA (tRNA) molecules are approximately 80 nucleotides in length. Their secondary structure includes four short double-helical elements and three loops (D, anti-codon, and T loops).
Source: RNAcentral
GUCUCGGUAGUGCAAAGGAUAGAGCAUGGUGCCCGAGAAGCAUAAGUGCGGGUUUGAGUCCCAUUCGAGACU